Molecule: unclassified non-coding RNA, 433 nt
Filed under: soil metagenome
Description: partial contains 5.8S ribosomal RNA, internal transcribed spacer 2, and large subunit ribosomal RNA
Rfam family: 5.8S ribosomal RNA (bases 1-120)
Source: RNAcentral
GAUGAAGAACGUAGCGAAAUGCGAUACGUAAUGUGAAUUGCAGAAUUCAGUGAAUCAUCGAAUCUUUGAACGCAUAUUGCGCUCUCUGGUAUUCCGGCGAGCAUGCUUGUUUGAGUAUCAGUAAACACCUCAACUUCCAUAUCUUUUUUGAAAUGGGAGUUGGACUUGAGUGAUCCCAACGCUUUUCCUCACCGAAAAGUGGCGGGUUACUUGAAAUGCAGGUGCAGCUGGACUUUUCUCUGAGCUAUAAGCAUAUCUAUUUAGUCUGCCUAAAAAACAGAUUAUUACCUUUGCUGCAGCUAACAUAAAGGAGAUUAGUUCUUGUGCUGACUGAUGCAGGAUUCACAAAGACAGGCUUCGGCCGACUUUGUAAACUCGAUCUCAAAUCAAGUAAGACUACCCGCUGAACUUAAGCAUAUCAAUAAGCGGAGGA